GAAGGGCCCGGCUGGCACCGGCGGCAGCUGCUAACGGAGCGCUGAGCGGAGCCCGCGGCUGGCGGGGCCGAAAUGCUGCACUUUUAUGUACCAUAACUUUUGUAGCAAUGUUGCUGUACAGUUUUGUCAGAUGUAAUCGCUUUGGAAACACUUUCAAAAGUAAUACAAAAUGCUAUGGGAGCAAUCUCAUCUGCUUUUGGAAAUAACACUGGAACUGGACUGCAGGGAAAACAUUACUUCACUCUGUGGCCAGCAUGUAAUUUUCUGCACCAGAAGACAAGAAAGAAAAAGCAGUUGUUAACAAAUAAGCCAUGCCUGUUGCAGCUGAUGGAACUGUGGGGGACCUGCCUGUGAGACAUACAGGUCUAACUCCAGCUGGAAUUGAAGGAUUACAAGAAUCAUCAACUGCACAGAAUAUAAAAGCUCAACAAGCUAGGUAACAAAUCAGUCAAGAAGAACUGGAGGACAGAUUUCUUUAUGAUGGUCACAUCUUACUCAAGCAACGUGCAAAUGAGCAAGAAAAGAAAACUAAAAGUUACAGGACAGAGUAAACAAUCCAGAAAAAGAGAAUGAACUCAUGAAGAAAAACUAUGAUAAGCUGUGUAAGUGUCUUCUGUAUGACCCAUGAACAGCAAUGGAAAUCAAAGGAACAGCAAAUGAAACUGCAAAUUGCUAAACUAGAGAUGGCUAUCAAAUCUGAUUUAGCAGACAAAAAUAUAAUCCUUGACAAGAUCAAAGUAGAAAGAGAUACCAUAAGUGCAUUCUCUUGCUCUAAUAGCAGUUUCCUGAUAGCAGCCGUUACCUGUACCUGAAGUUGAAAAAUGUGGAUAAAAAUUACAUCACUUGGUUUUAUUAAGUCAAGAAUUGCAUCAGAUAAAACAAUACAGCAGCUGAGUCUAGACUGGAGAGGAAACAAUUUCCCUGCAGAGGACACUCCACUGUCACUUCCAAACCCAGCAGGAGUCGAGGGAGUGACUGCAACUAUAGCACUGGCGAGUGCAGUGCUCAGUGGUACCUCAGAAGAUGAGCAGGAACUUGAAUGGGGAGAUACUGAUUUUGCUGAAUCUGUUUGAAAAAUAUAUUCCACAAGCAAAGAAAUGCCACUGAACAAGACAUUGAGGAGUUAAUUCCAGCCCUGAUACUUUCAUUGAUGUACAUUCUAGUUCUCAGAGUGCUCAGUUUCCAGGAGGCUGAGUACCUGAAAAUUUUUGAUUCACAAGACGACAGUGCAGUAAUUGGAAGGCUCAAAGGAGCAGUGGAAGCCUCCGUGCGCUGCCCUCAGUCGAGAGGGGAAUGCAAAGAUGACUACGAGGCAUGAAAGGAAGUUUGCCUACAGAAGAUCCUUCUCCCAGUGUAAAUACAUGCUUGAUAGUGCAUCAAAGAUGAGAUCUUUGUAAUUCCUACAGUAUAUUUAAUGUAUAAUUUAUACGAAAAGGACGCUUGAUUUGUAGUUGUAAAGUUUUGUAUACUUUUCAGUCUGUUUGUUUUUGUAUUUCCCCCCUAAGGCUAAGAAUAUCUCCACAAUGGACAACGUCUUGUAAAUAAUUAAUACCUACAUGAUUGAACGAUGUGCUUUAUUUGCAUUUUUAAGAUUUUUUUUCCUACAUAAAACAGUAAUAAAAAUGCAAGUCAAAUUUUAAUUUUUAAUAAAAAAACCAUAAGCCUUAGAAAACUGAUUAAAAAUACUUUUAUGUUAUCCCUAAUCACCCCACUAAAUGGAAUGCCUGUGAUUAGCCUCAUUAAGAAUUUUAUACUGUGAAGAUUUUAUUAAAAGCAAUAUAUGAAAAUUACUUGGAUUAAUGUGUUAAUCUGCCUCUUUAAAAUGCUAAUAUCCAUUUUAUGCACAUUAAAUCUCAGUAUGUGUUUUCUUUGAUGCAUGCAGUUCCUAUCAAUUAAAUAUAAAAAAUUAGGCUAGUUGCAGGACUUAUUAAAUUACUGCAACCUUUUUUUAAAUAACUUUUACCCCUCUCCUAACAUAAUCAGCUGUUUAUGGUUACCAUAAUUUGAAGUAGGGGGAGGGCAGGCACAAUCACUUUCUGUACUGUAGAUGAUUUACUUGCAGCCAGCAUCUGUCAAAGCACAAAAAGAAGCCAUAGAGUAUCAGAUUUUGCUUCACCUACUUUGGGCUUUAGGGAUGGGCAAGUGUUUUCAUUUGGGUUUUGUCACUUUUAGAACUUACAUCAAACAUAUACAAUAAAUUGUUGUAUCUGAAUAGCUACUGCCUAGUGUGGAAAGUUAAUUUUACAGCUUUUAACCAAUCUCAGUGAAGGAUUUAAUUGAUAUUUUUAAUGGAGCUGUGAAUCAAUGCUGCAAAAGGAUUGUCUCUUGAGAACGAAGAUAUAAUACAUUUCAUUUUUUAAUUUACUUUUUUAUUUGUCAUUUUCUUCAAAGGAUUUUAUAGACUGUGGAUUUCCACUGUUUGCAAACAGGCUAUGUUUCUUCAUAAGCAUAUGUAAAGUAUUCAGAGAGAUAAGUAAUUUAUUAAAAUCUACCUAAUUUGCCGUGAUAUAUUAAAUCUCUGCUUCAGUGAUCACAGACCAUUUCAUUUACAGAAUUAGGCAUUCCCUCUUUGUGUGAUUAAAGCUCUGGAAAAUGAGUUCUUUGCUCCUAUUUGUGAACAUUCAAAGCCUGCUAAUGGCAAGAAGAUGGAAUAGAUUAUGAGACAAUUCAUUACAGUUCAACAGAAAAAAAAACCCUGCUAUAAUGCAGAAAUGCAAGUAUGAAUAUCUGCAUAUAGUUUGAACCAUCUGUGCUCUAAUGGCUUCAGUAAUGGCUCUUCGUCUUCAGUAGGCUUUGAAAUGACAUCUAUACAAUAUUAAUUUGUUGAUGUACAUUAUGAGGCCAAUGGAAUGAAUAUAUUCUGACCACAGAAAUCUCUGAAUUCCAGCAUGGUCUGCUGGUUGACUCCAUUUUAGGACCUACCAUCUUCAGCAGUACCUCUCAUCCAGACUUUGCCAAUCCUCACAGCGUUGCAUUCCUCUGGAACUUUAGGAGACCACAGACAGCUGCAUUCCUAAACUCCUCCAUUCUCCAGUUAAUGGCCAUAUGUUUGUUGUCAUUUGGGCUGGCACUUAGUUCAUCAUUUUGGCCACUAUUUCUAGCUUUCUUUGGCUCUGUGCAUCUAUAUUGUCAAUAAGACUGUUAUUAUACAUUACAAUAAUUUGAAACAGCCAGAUUCGACACUGAGAUUAACUGAGUGGCUUUUUAGAAAUUUAGUUGUGGUAUUCUGUCAGGAGGUUCUUAUUAUUCUUCUAAUACUUUGCAAACCAAACUAAAUACCCUGCACAUAAACAAAGAAGCGAACUGUAUUGAGUUUUUGUGUGUGACUGUUUACUGACUUGCAGGAGAACUAUGUUAACUGGUGCUUGUUUUCUUCUGAAAUAAACCAUGUGGUAAAAUUAGAAAAUCAGUGAUGUUCAUCUCACUUAAACAUUUACAGUAACACCCUUAACACUUAAUCUUCGCCAUCUGAAGUUGGAAACUCAGAAACCAAGCGUUCAUAUAUUCAUUAAACACAGAUCUCUUCGGUAAGUUACUGCAAAAUAUUCCAGUUAACAUUUGGUUACAUUGUGUUAACUGCUCUCAGUGACUCCAACAUUAACAUGUAUAAUGUGCCUCAGGUUCCUAGACAUAUUUCUUCAUAAGGCUCACUGUUACUAAGUUUCGGAUUUUAAAAACAUAAUCCUGAUUUCUAUUCAUGUUUAUUGCUAAAACAGAUAUAAUACUCAGCAAGGAUUUUCCCAACAGAUGGAUUGUAUUAUCUUAUGCAACAUAAACAUGUGAUCAUACCAGAAAGUUCUGUUCUUGCAUUAAGUAGUCUGUAUUUCCAAAAUGCUCUUAAAUCUUAAUUCUAAAUGCUACAUUGUGCAGGGAGAGUGGAAAAUGUAACCUGGUACUAUUUUGUCUAGAUUUUAGCAGUGAAUAGCUUGAAGAAAACUUGCAGCUAUGUAAUCUCUAGGCUAAGGUACAAAGGAGCCAUAUUAAAGCAGGGUACUACCAUGCUUUAAAAUAUUACUCAGUUAACAUUCACUUUUGUGGAAGAGAUGAAUAUUUAUUAUGGCAUAACUUAGUCACCACAGUGGUUCUGCAUAAGAUGAAAUGACAGUGUCAAAUGAUCAGUUUUUACAUCUUUUCCCAUUUAUUGUUACAACUUGUGGCUUUAUUAUGGUAUCUUCUGGUGUGAUAUGAUAACUGCUGUUCUCCAGGUUCCCAGGAAUGUUGAUCAAGAUGGAAAUAUUUUUAGCUCAGACUUUAUCUGUUUCAAAUGUUGCUUUUAACCUUUUAUAACCUUGAGCUAGGAACAGAAGUUUUAAAAGUAAAUACAUCAUGAACCAGGUAAGAGGUCUGUGAAGUCAAUCAAUCUUGCUGUGGAGUAAGUCAAAGCUUAUCUCAUUAUAUAAAAGUAGAUAUAGCAUGACUAUGACUUGUUUCAUAAAUCAAUAUUCAAAUUAAUAGUAAUAUUGUUUUAAAAUGCUUUUUAUUAUUUCAAGGCAGUGAGACACUGUCAUAGUUCAAGAGGUCUCCAAACAUACCAAGACUAAAUACCAGCUGCUAUAUUUAAUUUUCUUGUUUUGUGUUGUAACUGAGAAAUAAAUUAAAAUACAGGUUUAAAUUGUGCUACAAAUCAUAUUUCAGAGUCGGAAAAGUAUUA
Molecule: long non-coding RNA, 4651 nt
Organism: Prinia subflava (tawny-flanked prinia)
Lineage: Eukaryota; Metazoa; Chordata; Aves; Passeriformes; Cisticolidae
Exons: 12
Source: RefSeq, a predicted model, not a curated record